UACGUAGGGUGCAAGCGUUGUCCGGAAUUAUUGGGCGUAAAGAGCUCGUAGGCGGUUUGUCGCGUCUGCUGUGAAAACCCGAGCUCAACCUCGGGCCUGCAGUGGGUACGGGCAGACUAGAGUGCGGUAGGGGAGAUUGGAAUUCCUGGUGUAGCGGUGGAAUGCGCAGAUAUCAGGAGGAACACCAAUGGCGAAGGCGGUGGUCUGGGCCGGAACUGACGCUGAGGAGCGAAAGCGUGGGGAGCGAA
Molecule: ribosomal RNA, 248 nt
Filed under: uncultured bacterium
Lineage: Bacteria
Description: partial 16S ribosomal RNA
Rfam family: Bacterial small subunit ribosomal RNA
Source: RNAcentral